Papaver somniferum (opium poppy) is the source of this 2163-nucleotide long non-coding RNA. RefSeq lists it as uncharacterized. The record is from RefSeq and is a predicted model, not a curated record. The transcript is spliced from 5 exons. NCBI's taxonomy places the organism in Eukaryota, Viridiplantae, Streptophyta, Magnoliopsida, Ranunculales, Papaveraceae.
UUUCUCUCUUUUCCGCUCCUGCCUCUCUUCUCUUCUCUUUUAUGUUCAAUCGAUUAGCCGAGUAACAGAAACCUCUCUUCUUUUCUCUAUCAUCUUCAAUCAUAGAUCUGUGGUUUGAAGUACUGAAGAACUUUGAAGAAUUUCUGCCAACUUAGAAGGUAUAAUUUUAGGGUUUUAUGACAAGUUCAUACAGGGGAGAAGUUUGCAGAGUUUGUGGUCGAAAUGUGAGAAUUUGGUGGAAUUUCAUGGGAGUAAAUCAGAUUAAUGAAAGGGGAUCUGAAGCUGUUGAUCAGAUGGGUUUUUGAUGGCCGUGCUUGAAGAAAUAGAAGCUCGAGAUGAACAUGGAAGUUGAGUUACUUGAGUUGUUGUAUUUGAACUCGAGAGAACAUCUCUAAUUCUGCUUUGUCCGUACAACAACAACAUUUCAUUGUCCUCAGCAAGUGUUUACAAAGUUUCCUGAACUGACAAAAACAAGAAGGAUUCAGCUUGUUCUCUGUUAAUCGAUUGUGAGGCAGUAAUCUGAGGAUUUGAAGAGAUUUCAUAUAGCAAGAAGAGCUGAGAAAGAGCAACUUUGGUUGUUCUCUGUGUAUGUACAGUAAGGACAAUGAUUCAGCUAACCAUCUUGUGCUGACGCUGUAAUGGAGUUUGUGCUCGAGAUUACAAUCCCCAUUGUCAAGAGAGUUAAGGGAAGAAGUAUGGGAAGGUGAUUAUGGAGCUGUGUUUUUCAAGAGGCCUGUAGACUUUGUGCAGGUAUGAGAGAAGAGAAGGAUGGAACUUAAUGGGAUCGUUGCUGUCUAACCAUGGUCUUGGCGGUUGUCGACAUAAAAGUAGAAGUAGCUGAGUUAUGGUGGCUUUGCAGAGACGGAAUGGUGGUGAAGUUGAAUUUUUACAGACAUCAAGAAGAAGAGAUGAUGCUCUUGGUCAUUGGCAGUAAGUGGUGAAGGGUUAUAGUAAGAAGAUGGACAGGAUUUUGAUGUCAAGAUACAUAGUUUGGAGCUGAGUUUCCAGCGAGAAGAUAGGGUGAUAUUUGUUGUUGCUGUCAUGAAUGUAUGUGAGCUGUGAUUGUCAUCUCAACUGGAGGAACCAAAAUAUUGAUGCUGCUGAGCUAUGGAGGAGGUUCAAAUUGGUUCGAACCUGAAGAUGGGACUGGAAUGAGGCUGUGUUGCUGCCAAGACAAACCUAGUCUUGUAGUUUUUCUAUGGAAAUAUUGGAGUAUGGUGGGUAAUUAGGAAGCAAGGACGAAGGGAAGAAACAACCAGUCGAUCCAGGUUUAGUGCAGUGGUUAACCCUGGCUCAAGGCUCAGUUCAGGAGUUGUCUGGCAUUGGCUAGGAUCAGACUUAGAAAGCCACAGGAUAUGGAGACUUGGCCGCAAAUUUAUCCUAGUUUUGAAAGGAGUUUAUUGCCGUGAAAACUGCUCAUAAGUGAUGUCUUUGCCGCUGCUUAUUGAGAUGACUGACUGUGAUUGUCUUAGAGUUUAUAUUGAGUAAGGAAAGUGAGUGUGUUUAGGUUACAAAAGUGGAGGGACAUAAAAUCUAUAAGAGGAGGCACAGGAACAGAGAAGACCUACCUCUUCCUGACCAGUUUUGUGCUUGCAGAUUGUUCAGAGAAUGGAAACCGCUGCUAAGACAGCUGGGGAGAAUGCAUAACGUUGCUGAGUGGUGGAGUUAGCCCUCAUCAGCUUAGUGAUUCCUUCAAAUUUUGCUCUCUUAGUUCGUUUUUAAUAUUCAUUUUAUGCCGUUCAUUUUAUGGUUCCUUACAAGUUCAGGUGCCGAAUGGUGGAGUCAGCACUCAUCAGCUUGGGAUGUCGAUACCUUUGCUGAGUUGGAUGUCAUUUAUUUCCAGACCGUGGUGCCGUGUGACCGCAGUAAUUGAUAGUGUUGGUGCUGAAACAAGGCAUGUCAUUGUCAGGACACCGUUGGUGGUCGAAACGGCCAAUCGAGGCAGGUUUUCAGUUUGAUUUUGCAUUUGACUGGAUGAAUUUGGAGUAUCAGCAAUGCCCAACGAUUGCUCUUCCCUCACGUACUCUUUUGAGGCGAAGUGUUCAGAUUUGAUACAAAAACAGUAGCAAGAGAAGGCAAAGAUCGUUAUGUGAGUCUGUUUUUGUUAUAUCUUAGAUUUCAUAUGCUAUAUCUUUUUUUUAUCCCCCAAUAAUUGCUCAAACC